GUAUCCUGGCUCAGGAUGAACGCUAGCGACAGGCUUAACACAUGCAAGUCGAGGGGCAGCACGGGGGUAGCAAUACCCCGGUGGCGACCGGCGCACGGGUGAGUAACACGUGUGCAACCAACCCCCGUACCGGGAGAUAACCCGCGGAAACGUGGACUAACACCCCAUAACACCUUUCCCCCGCAUGGGGGAGAGUUUAAAAUCCCGAUGGUACGGGACGGGCACGGCGCGGACAUUAGGUAGUUGGCGGGGUAACGGCCCACCAAGCCGACGAUGUCUAGGGGUU
RNAcentral lists this ribosomal RNA (286 nucleotides) under uncultured bacterium. RNAcentral's name for it is "partial 16S ribosomal RNA". It matches the Rfam family "Bacterial small subunit ribosomal RNA", at positions 14 to 291 of the family's 1533-position model. The record is from RNAcentral.